UGGGGAAUAUUGCGCAAUGGGGGAAACCCUGACGCAGCGACGCCGCGUGCGGGAUGAAGGCUUUCGGGUCGUAAACCGCUUUCAGUAGGGAAGAAUAAUGACGGUACCUACACAAGAAGCCCCGGCUAACUACGUGCCAGCAGCCGCGGUAAUACGUAGGGGGCAAGCGUUAUCCGGAUUCAUUGGGCGUAAAGCGCGCGCAGGCGGCCUUUCAAGCGGCACCGUUCAAGCCAAGGGCUCAACCCUUGGAAGCGGGCCGAACUGGGAGGCUCGAGAGAGGUAGAGGAAGGCGGAAUUCCCGGUGUAGCGGUGGAAUGCGCAGAUAUCGGGAAGAACACCAACGGCGAAGGCAACCUUCUGGGCCUUAUCUGACGCUCAGGCGCGAAAGCUGGGGGAGCAAACAGG
Molecule: ribosomal RNA, 405 nt
Filed under: uncultured bacterium
Lineage: Bacteria
Description: bacterial SSU rRNA
Rfam family: Bacterial small subunit ribosomal RNA
Source: RNAcentral